Molecule: non-coding RNA, 88 nt
Organism: Tirmania nivea
Lineage: Eukaryota; Fungi; Ascomycota; Pezizomycetes; Pezizales; Pezizaceae
Source: the annotation of a GenBank genome assembly
GGUUGAAUGGUGUAACGGUAGCACAUAAGAUUUUGAACCUCCAUUGAGGAAUAUUCUUGUGACCUGGGUUCGACUCCCAGUUCGACCU